This 495-nucleotide ribosomal RNA is filed under the name uncultured bacterium. RNAcentral's name for it is "bacterial SSU rRNA". It matches the Rfam family "Bacterial small subunit ribosomal RNA", at positions 30 to 524 of the family's 1533-position model. The record is from RNAcentral.
UGAACGCUGGCGGAAUGCUUUACACAUGCAAGUCGAACGGUAGAGGGGGCAACCCCUCGAGAGUGGCGAACGGGUGAGUAAUAUAUCGGAACGUGCCCAGUCGUGGGGGAUAACGUAGCGAAAGUUACGCUAAUACCGCAUACGAUCUACGGAUGAAAGCGGGGGAUCGCAAGACCUCGCGCGAUUGGAGCGGCCGAUAUCAGAUUAGGUAGUUGGUGGGGUAAAGGCUCACCAAGCCAACGAUCUGUAGCUGGUCUGAGAGGACGACCAGCCACACUGGAACUGAGACACGGUCCAGACUCCUACGGGAGGCAGCAGUGGGGAAUUUUGGACAAUGGACGCAAGUCUGAUCCAGCCAUUCCGCGUGCAGGAUGAAGGCCCUCGGGUUGUAAACUGCUUUUGUACGGAACGAAAAGGUUUCUAUUAAUACUAGGAGCUCAUGACGGUACCGUAAGAAUAAGCACCGGCUAACUACGUGCCAGCAGCCGCGGUAAU